GAAAAUUCAAGUAUAAGGUUUGAAAAAUAAAUGAAAUGCUGAAAAAAUAAAAGACAGAUAAAAUUAAAGAUAGAUAGACUGCUAUAGUCUAUUGUUGUUUGAUUGAUUGAGUGGUUAGGUGAGCCUUUAACGUUGCACAAUAGAGCAUAUUUAUAAUAGCACUUGAUUGUUCCUAUGAAGGUUCCAAAACCCGCAUUUGUUCACGUCUCAUGUCUUUCCAUAACUUCCCAGCACCUGUUCUCUUAACCGCUCAUAACUUGCCCAUGAUCUGGUAACUCCCUUUAGUUGAUUAAUCCCCUUCUGAUGACUACUCAAAAAUAAUACCUGUGUUACAACUUUUCCUUGGCUUUGGGCUUGCACCAUCCUCU
RNAcentral lists this unclassified non-coding RNA (368 nucleotides) under Hevea brasiliensis (rubber tree). The record is from RNAcentral. Lineage: Eukaryota; Viridiplantae; Streptophyta; Magnoliopsida; Malpighiales; Euphorbiaceae.